UACGUAGGGUGCAAGCGUUAAUCGGAAUUACUGGGCGUAAAGCGUGCGCAGGCGGUUGUGCAAGACCGAUGUGAAAUCCCCGGGCUUAACCUGGGAAUGGCCAUGGAAACUGGCGAACUGGAGUGCGGCAGAGGGGGGUGGAAUUCCGCGUGUAGCAGUGAAAUGCGUAGAGAUGCGGAGGAACACCGAUGGCGAAGGCAGCCCCCUGGGCUAGCACUGACGCUCAGGCACGAAAGCGUGGGGAGCAAACAGG
Molecule: ribosomal RNA, 253 nt
Filed under: uncultured bacterium
Lineage: Bacteria
Description: partial 16S ribosomal RNA
Rfam family: Bacterial small subunit ribosomal RNA
Source: RNAcentral